Molecule: long non-coding RNA, 1104 nt
Filed under: Anser brachyrhynchus (Pink-footed goose)
Lineage: Eukaryota; Metazoa; Chordata; Aves; Anseriformes; Anatidae
Description: lncRNA (ENSABRG00000004869.1)
Source: RNAcentral
AGUUCCUGCCCUCAGAGGUUUCCAGUCCUACCUGGGCUGAAGAGAUUUCAAUAACAAUAUGGUAGAUCAAGGGGAGGUGGUGGAUGAAAAAGCAAGGAUGAGGCAGGGCAUGGUAGAGUGGAACUCCUGGAGGGCGAAGCGGUAGCUAUCCGUGAGGGCAGAAAUUAGGAUUAGCAUAGAGUGCAGAGGGGAAAAUGGAAAUACUUGUGUUUUGGUGUUGUAAAUUUGAAUUUUUUUUACUUUGGAGUAUCCUUCACCGUUGAAAUGAUCCUAUGCCAUUUAUUAUCUGAAAACCAUUGCAACGAGGGCAAACAAGGGAUGGGCAACACUGACCUUGUGAUUAUUUCUUUCUCAGUGUAAUAAACCCAAAUGAACAUGAAGUGGUAUUUUUGUAGUCUCUAAGCUGCCAGUACUACAUUGUGUCUCUGAAAGAGAUGGAGUGAAAAAAAAUUAAAUUAGUAAGCUGUUCUUCCUAUAGUGACAUUUUUGGGAUUGAUUGAUUAAAGCUACCAAAAUAUUCAAUAUCCAGGGAACAGAAGAACCAUUGAUGACAUGAUGUUUUUGCUGUUUGUUUUCAGAUGCUCAUUUGAGCAAUGAAUGAUUCGUCUCUUUAGCUCUUGUAUUCUGGGCUUUUGAGGAAUGAUCAGUCUUGUAUCCAUUGCUCCUUUGUUCACUUUGUGCUUCAAGGCCUCUGUAGGUGGACUGUCUCUUCCAAAGCGUCCUCAGGCAAGCUAUUUCUCUGGUUUAAAAUUUCUGCUUUUGUUAAGCUGCUCAUAAUCCAUAACCUGGAUCCUUCCUGUUGCAUCAGAAGCCCAUAGUUUUAGUCCUGUCCACCGCUGGCACAGGGAACAACAGAUUGUUUCCUUCCUCUUUGCAACAUAUUUUUAUCUGGUCUUAACUUUAAAAAAAUUAUUCUCAGACUUCUUUUUUAGGCUAAACAGCAUUGAAAGGCCCACUAAAAUCAAGUACAUCAAUGUUCUGUCUCUCCUGUCCAAAGGGCAUGUUAGUCUGGUAUAAAAUGAAUUGUGAUUGGUAUGACAUCAUUUGAUGUUGGUUCAUACCUUCUUAUCUUUGAGGUACUUGCAAGGGGGUUUUUUGAUUACU